UGAGAGAUUGCCUGUAAUUCAGCCAUGGU
Molecule: non-coding RNA, 29 nt
Filed under: Mus musculus (house mouse)
Lineage: Eukaryota; Metazoa; Chordata; Mammalia; Rodentia; Muridae
Source: RNAcentral